GAUCAUUAUCGAUACUUUCAUGUUGGUUGUAGCUGGCCCUUUCAGGGUAUGUGCACACCUUCAUAAAUAUCCACACACCUGUGAACCAAUUGUAGGUCUUCGGAUCUAUGCAUUUUUCCACAAACCACGAAUGUUAUUAGAAUGUUUAAUUGUUAGUUGCUGUAAAAAGCAAUUAUAAAAUAAAUACAACUUUCAACAACGGAUCUCUUGGCUCUCGCAUCGAUGAAGAACGCAGCGAAAUGCGAUAAGUAAUGUGAAUUGCAGAUUUUCAGUGAAUCAUCGAAUCUUUGAACGCACCUUGCGCUCCUUGGUAUUCCGAGGAGCAUGCCUGUUUGAGUGUCAUUAAAUUCUCAACUCUUAAUUCUUUGCUGGAUUAUGAGCUUGGACUUGGAGUGUGCUGGCUUUUACGAGUCGGCUCCUCUUCAAAUACAUUAGCGGAUUUUACUUCUCGCAAAAACUCGGCGUGAUAAUUGUUAUGCUGUGUAUGAGCUUGAAGAGCUGCUUCUUAACCGUCCUUCUGGGACAACAUUGACAAAUUUGACCUCAAAUCAGGUAGGACUACCCGCUGAACUUAAGCAUAUCAAUAAGCGGAGGAAAAGAAACUAACAAGGAUUCCCCUAGUAACUGCGAGUGAAGCGGGAAAAGCUCAAAUUUAAAAUCUGGUUGGUUUCACAACCCGAGUUGUAAUCUGGAGAAGCGUUUUCCGUGUCGGACCGUGUACAAGUUUUCUGGAACGGAACGUCAUAGAGGGUGAGAAUCCCGUCUUUGACACGGACUACCGAUGCUUUUGUGAUACGCUCUCAAAGAGUCGAGUUGUUUGGGAAUGCAGCUCAAAAUGGGUGGUAAAUUCCAUCUAAAGCUAAAUAUAGGCGAGAGACCGAUAGCGAACAAGUACCGUGAGGGAAAGAUGAAAAGCACUUUGGAAAGAGAGUUAAACAGUACGUGAAAUUGUUGAAAGGGAAACGUUUGAAGUCAGUCGCGUCUGUUGAGAUUCAACCCUGCUUCUGCAUGGCGCAUUUCUCAGCAGGCGGGUCAACAUCAAUUUUGAUCAUUGGAUAAAGUCUGGGGGAAUGUGGCAUUCUUCGGGAUGUGUUAUAGCCCCUGGUCGUAUACAGUGGUUGGGAUUGAGGAA
RNAcentral lists this ribosomal RNA (1132 nucleotides) under uncultured fungus. RNAcentral's name for it is "eukaryotic LSU rRNA". The stretch from base 539 to 1132 matches the Rfam family "Eukaryotic large subunit ribosomal RNA", at positions 1 to 595 of the family's 3401-position model. Lineage: Eukaryota; Fungi. The record is from RNAcentral.